This 226-nucleotide long non-coding RNA is filed under the name Capsicum annuum. RNAcentral's name for it is "long non-coding RNA (CANN_LNC009762)". Lineage: Eukaryota; Viridiplantae; Streptophyta; Magnoliopsida; Solanales; Solanaceae. The record is from RNAcentral.
UAUUUCAAGGGAAAAGCUAGAAUUAUACGAGGUUCAAACCCAAUUCAUCAAAUACUCAAUCCCAAACCAUUCCAAAAUAUCUUUGUCAUAAUUUACAAUCUUGGAGGCUAGGGUUCUUGACCAAACACCCUUGACAUUGAAGAUUGGAAGCUUUGUAUUGUUAAUUUCUCAAACCUUUCUUAUUUUGCUUGCUUUGUUUAGACUAUUUGAAUAUAGUUGAACUUUG